Molecule: unclassified non-coding RNA, 378 nt
Filed under: uncultured Parachlamydiaceae bacterium
Lineage: Bacteria; Pseudomonadati; Chlamydiota; Chlamydiia; Parachlamydiales; Parachlamydiaceae
Description: contains 16S-23S intergenic spacer region
Source: RNAcentral
UCCCCGUUGUCCGGGGCAGUUUCGCUAGAGUGCUCAGCUUAACCUGUUAGCAACUAACGAUAAGGGUUGCGCUCGUUGCGGGACUUAACCCAACACCUCACGGCACGAGCUGACGACAGCCAUGCAGCACCUGUGCAGCAGUCCCGAAGGAAAGAUCCAUCUCUGGAUCGGUCUACUGCAUGUCAAGCCUGGGUAAGGUUCUUCGCGUUGCAUCGAAUUAAACCACAUGCCCCACUGCUUGUGCGGGUCCCCGUCAAUUCUUUUGAGUUUCAGCCUUGCGACUGUACUCCUCAGGCGGUAUACUUAACGCGUUAGCUCCGGCACAACUAGGGUUGAGUCCAGUUACACCAAGUAUACAUCGUUUACAGCAAGGACUAC